This 493-nucleotide ribosomal RNA is filed under the name uncultured bacterium. RNAcentral's name for it is "bacterial SSU rRNA". It matches the Rfam family "Bacterial small subunit ribosomal RNA", at positions 40 to 507 of the family's 1533-position model. The record is from RNAcentral.
CGGCGUGCCUAACACAUGCAAGUCGUACGGAAAAGCCGGCUUCGGCUGGUGAGUAAAGUGGCGGCACGGGUGAGUAACGCGUGGAUAAUCUGCCCUUAAGUGUGGAAUAACGUACCGAAAGGUGCGCUAAUACCGCAUAAUGCCUGGCAACACAAGUUGUCCGGCCAAAGAAGGCCUCUGUUUACAAGCUUUCGCUUCAGGAUGAGUCCGCGUACCAUUUAGCUUGUUGGUGGGGUAAUGGCCUACCAAGGCUGCGAUGGUUAGCUGGUCUGAGAGGAUGAUCAGCCACACUGGAACUGAGACACGGUCCAGACUCCUACGGGAGGCAGCAGUGAGGAAUAUUGCGCAAUGGGGGCAACCCUGACGCAGCAACGCCGCGUGAGUGAGGAAGGUUUUCGGACUGUAAAGCUCUGUCGAGCGGGAAGAAGUGUACCAUGGCUAAUAUCCAUGAUAUUUGACGGUACCGCUAGAGGAAGCACCGGCUAACUCCGUG